This is a long non-coding RNA of Scylla paramamosain (green mud crab), 961 nucleotides long. RefSeq lists it as uncharacterized. NCBI's taxonomy places the organism in Eukaryota, Metazoa, Arthropoda, Malacostraca, Decapoda, Portunidae. The transcript has 3 exons. The record is from RefSeq and is a predicted model, not a curated record.
UAAAGACAGACAUAUAUGUGAAGUUUUCUGGAAGUACUCAACGUGGCGGUGAUACAAACACGGCCUAAGGAAGACUUGAAUAGGCAGGAGGGGGCCCGCAAUCUGGAGCGCCCGUGACGUCAGCUUGUCACGUGACUGGGCCCCUGCUAUGAGGCCCAGUCAGUUGGACCACGCACGCUCGAUGGGGUUGUAACACUGUGUUUUGUGUUAAAUAGUGCGGAUUUCGUCGUGAUUAAUGCGUCAUUGCCAGUGAAUCAGUGCUGCGUGAUCGCGGUGUCGUCGUGGUGUGUCGUAUAAAGUCUCAGCGUGUUCCUUAGAGGCUCCGUGGCUUUGCGCAGACGCGGUGCGAAUAUGAGAGUAAGCUUGAUCGUAGGCCGCUUGGUUCCCUGGGCAGGCCCCGCCGCUGCCUUUCGCCACGUGUGUUAGGGUGUGAUUGCGGGACGCCGGGAGUGACUCAGACGGACUCCCGCGGAGAGUGAUUGAAAAGUAACAGUGAUCGCCGUGGAAGGUGCCUCAGCCCGCAGUGAUGAGCUGGGCACCGCGACACUGCUGGCCUCGCCCUGAAGACAGAUUCUCUCAGAGAAUUUAAGUUGCUGUUAGUUAGAAAAGAAAGAAGUCAUAAGGACAACGGACCCCCACCCCCACGUAACUAGAGUCGUGCAGCCCUCCACCCUCGCUGCGUCCUCUCACUCACUCCGUAGCUCUAAGACUAAACAUAAGUUAAAGUAUAAGUGUAGCGUGCAAGGAGAGUCCGGCCCGCACAGGUCCGCCUUCACUGCCACCGUUCCGCGGGCUGUGCUUAGGCUGCAUUUUGGUGCUCAUCUGACUCACUGAUUUUGUUACUCUUAGUUUUCCUCUUUAUUUCUAGUUACUGACAUAAUUCCUUAGUUGCAUGGCCAUUCCAAUUAUUUGUAAUUGUUCAAAUUAUGUUAUAAUUUAACCUUAUAAAUGUAUUUCUGUU